AUCAAACGCGGGCGGCGUGCUUAACACAUGCAAGUCGAACGAGAAAGUGGGAGCAAUCCUGCGAGUAAAGUGGCAGACGGGUGAGUAACACGUGAACAACCUACCCUUGAGUGGGGAAUAACACCGCGAAAGCGGUGCUAAAACCGCAUAACAUCCUUUGUUCGCAUGAAUGGGGGAUCAAAAGAGCAAUUUGCUUGAGGAGGGGUUCGCGGCUGAUUAGCUAGUUGGUGAGGUAACGGCCCACCAAGGCAACGAUCAGUAGCCGGCCUGAGAGGGCGAACGGCCACACUGGAACUGAGACACGGUCCAGACUCCUACGGGAGGCAGCAGUGGGGAAUUUUGCGCAAUGGGCGAAAGCCUGACGCAGCAACGCCGCGUGGAGGAUGAAGGCCUUCGGGUCGUAAACUCCUGUCGAUGGGGACGAAAGCCUAGCAAUAGGAUUGACUGUACCCGUUGAGGAAGCCACGGCUAACUCCGUGCCAGCAGCCGCGGUAAUACGGGGGUGGCAAGCGUUGUUCGGAAUUACUGGGCGUAAAGGGCGCGUAGGCGGCAUAACAAGUCAGAUGUGAAAGCCCCGGGCUCAACUCGGGAAUUGCAUCUGAAACUGUCUUGCUUGAGUUCUGGAGGGGGUAGUGGAAUUCCCAGUGUAGCGGUGAAAUGCGUAGAUAUUGGGAGGAACACCUGCGGCGAAGGCGGCUACCUGGACAGUAACUGACGCUGAGGCGCGAAAGCUAGGGGAGCGAACAGGAUUAGAUACCCUGGUAGUCCUAGCUGUAAACGAUGGGCACUUGGUGUUGGGGGUAUUGAGUCCCCCGGUGCCGGAGUUAACACGUUAAGUGCCUCGCCUGGGGAGUACGGUCGCAAGACUG
Molecule: ribosomal RNA, 869 nt
Filed under: uncultured bacterium
Lineage: Bacteria
Description: bacterial SSU rRNA
Rfam family: Bacterial small subunit ribosomal RNA
Source: RNAcentral